This 278-nucleotide unclassified non-coding RNA is filed under the name Hevea brasiliensis (rubber tree). Lineage: Eukaryota; Viridiplantae; Streptophyta; Magnoliopsida; Malpighiales; Euphorbiaceae. The record is from RNAcentral.
GGAAUACCAGUAGAGGAAAGUGACCAAGACAUCCUGGUCACAAAUCCGCUAGGCCAUAGUGUGGUAGUAAACAAGGUGUAUGAGAGCUGUCCAUUGAUGAUUCAAGGGAAAGAGUUCUCGGCAGACUUAAUUGAACUACCAUUUCAUGAGUUUGAUGUGAUUUUGGGAAUGGACUGGUUAUCCCAUAAUCAGGCAAUAGUAGAUUGUAAAUUGAAGAGAAUCUCUCUGAAAACUGCUGAGAAUGAAGAAAUAAUAGUUGUGGGUGAAAGGACAGAUUU